GGGCGAUGAUGAAACGAGAAAAUUUUAGACAAGCAUAUGUCUGAUUCCUGACGAGAAAUCUCGCGUCUGAGCCU
This 74-nucleotide small nucleolar RNA is filed under the name Blastobotrys adeninivorans. RNAcentral's name for it is "snR74". The record is from RNAcentral. Lineage: Eukaryota; Fungi; Ascomycota; Dipodascomycetes; Dipodascales; Trichomonascaceae.